RNAcentral lists this ribosomal RNA (473 nucleotides) under uncultured bacterium. RNAcentral's name for it is "bacterial SSU rRNA". It matches the Rfam family "Bacterial small subunit ribosomal RNA", at positions 325 to 793 of the family's 1533-position model. The record is from RNAcentral.
CACUGUCACUCCUACGGGAGGCAGCAGUGGGGAAUAUUGCACAAUGGGCGCAAGCCUGAUGCAGCCAUGCCGCGUGUGUGAAGAAGGCCUUCGGGUUGUAAAGCACUUUCAGUCGUGAGGAAGGUAGUGUAGUUAAUAGCUGCAUUAUUUGACGUUAGCGACAGAAGAAGCACCGGCUAACUCCGUGCCAGCAGCCGCGGUAAUACGGAGGGUGCGAGCGUUAAUCGGAAUUACUGGGCGUAAAGCGCAUGCAGGUGGUUUGUUAAGUCAGAUGUGAAAGCCCCGGGGCUCAACCUCGGAAUUGCAUUUGAAACUGGCAGACUAGAGUACUGUAGAGGGGGUAGAAUUUCAGGUGUAGCGGUGAAAUGCGUAGAGAUCUGAAGGAAUACCGGUGGCGAAGGCGGCCCCCUGGACAGAUACUGACACUCAGAUGCGAAAGCGUGGGGAGCAAACAGGAUUAGAUACCCUGGUAG